RNAcentral lists this long non-coding RNA (327 nucleotides) under Bos taurus (domestic cattle). Its description in RNAcentral is "long non-coding RNA NONBTAT005580". The record is from RNAcentral. Lineage: Eukaryota; Metazoa; Chordata; Mammalia; Artiodactyla; Bovidae.
AGCUCUUCCCAGGACGGACUUCUGCCACAGGGAUGAGGAAGAGGAUCUCAGAAGACUGAGGCUGAACCUCCUGGGCGCUUUGCCUCUGGAACAAAUGGCAGGAAACAUCCAUUCAACAGGCUGCUCAUCCCUUACAUUGAUCUCAAUGAGGUUCUGCCAAUUAGUGUAUUUUGUAAAAGAUCAAGAACCUAGCAACAAGGGGCUUGUGAUCGAUAUCAGGGCUUUUGUUCUAAGCAGCCACUUAUCUCAGUAAUUCUCGCUGAGAGUCCGUUGAAACAAGAGUUUCAGUUUUAUUGGAAUGGCUUAUAAUUUGUGCAUUAUUUUUAA